CCUACGGGAGGCAGCAGUGGGGAAUAUUGGACAAUGGGGGCAACCCUGAUCCAGCCAUGCCGCGUGUGUGAAGAAGGCCCUCGGGUUGUAAAGCACUUUCAGUGAGGAAGAACGCCUGGUGGUUAAUACCCAUCAGGAAAGACAUCACUCACAGAAGAAGCACCGGCUAACUCCGUGCCAGCAGCCGCGGUAAUACGGAGGGUGCGAGCGUUAAUCGGAAUUACUGGGCGUAAAGCGCGCGUAGGUGGCUUGAUAAGCCGGUUGUGAAAGCCCCGGGCUCAACCUGGGAACGGCAUCCGGAACUGUCAAGCUAGAGUGCAGGAGAGGAAGGUAGAAUUCCCGGUGUAGCGGUGAAAUGCGUAGAGAUCGGGAGGAAUACCAGUGGCGAAGGCGGCCUCCUGGACUGACACUGACACUGAGGUGCGAAAGCGUGGGUAGCAAACAGGAUUAGAUACCCCAGUAGUC
RNAcentral lists this ribosomal RNA (465 nucleotides) under Vreelandella stevensii. RNAcentral's name for it is "partial 16S ribosomal RNA". It matches the Rfam family "Bacterial small subunit ribosomal RNA", at positions 338 to 795 of the family's 1533-position model. Lineage: Bacteria; Pseudomonadati; Pseudomonadota; Gammaproteobacteria; Oceanospirillales; Halomonadaceae. The record is from RNAcentral.